This 1411-nucleotide long non-coding RNA is filed under the name Betta splendens (Siamese fighting fish). RNAcentral's name for it is "lncRNA (ENSBSLG00000003034.1)". The record is from RNAcentral. Lineage: Eukaryota; Metazoa; Chordata; Actinopteri; Anabantiformes; Osphronemidae.
GGAUCUGACCGCAGAGCGAGCGUUGAGGUCAUUCCGGGGAUAAAAGAGCGUCCGGUGGCAAACACAAGCUUUUACUGCACAUAAACAUGAGAUUUGAGACGCUCCGUGCAGACAAAAGGUGCGAAGAAGAGAUCUGCAGACGCUCACGUCAGCACCUGCAGACACUCGGCUCAUUAGGCUGAUUGGACGCAGGCUGUAGAAAGGCGACGUCUGCGCUGAGCUCACAUUAGAGGCGGUGGUCGGGUGAUCAGCGUGAGGAGUGUGUAGGAAUGGCCUGUGGAGUUCAUCUGGGGUGUGUGUGUGUGUGCGCGCGCGCUCGUUUUGUGUUCCAACCUACUCUGAGUGUGUGUCAAACUGCUGACCUUGAUAUCUGUGUUCUCCGCAGGAUUUUGCUCGUUUGUUUGGUUCAGGCAGAGCGUGCACGCUGCUCCUGGUCUCAGCAAGCUCCGGCCUCCCAGAGACGCGGCGGCGGCGGGUACGCUGGCUCCGGCCCCCUCCAGGGUGAACUCAGACAGGCGCCUGUUUCCGCAGCCUCGGCCCACGGCGGUGGUUUGAGUGAGUGGACGCACGCGUCUGCUGACGGGCGGCAAACAAGCUGGCGGAGAGUGAAGGUUCAGAAACUGCCUCCAGCACAUCUGGACUGGUUUACUCCUAUUUCUAGCGGAAGCUCCAUCAACCAUUUUACUAGUAAAAAGACUAGUCACGAUCAGUCCAACCAGUAUCUGUUUAGCAAUGGUGUGUCUCCCAGUAAGACGUCAGACUCCCAGUCUCCAGCGCAGAGGCCUCAGGGUUCGGCUGCAGGGUCUCCGGGACCCGUGGGAGCAGAUGCGUCCUCUGAGGGUCAGACUUUGGCCUGUGGCCUUGGAAAAAGAGUGACUUCACGUCGUCGCCACGGGUCGUCUAAAGCCCCUCGUUUCCCCCCGCCUCCUAAUGAAAGGCCUCCGCAGAUCCCCGUCCGGCGAAACCCUCCCCAGAGCUCCACGCCUGCCUCCAACGCGGCCGUGAGCUGCGCGAGCUACGCUCCAGACUGGCCCCGCGGGCAAAGCGCCGCCAGGAGCCCGAGCAAGCGCGGCCGGUUCGGCUCGGCCUCUGGUGCGGGCUCUGGCCGGGCAAGCAGAACGUUCAGCAUCCCCCAGCGCCUGGGCGGACACGCCAUCAGGCGGCCGCCGGCGUGGAGCGAGCAGGAAGGCAGGAUCCUGAAGCCACAGCAGCCUGCGUCAUACAAGCCUCGGGGUCAGAAGGUCAGGUGGUACAAGGUCAAGCUGCGUCGCUGACCCACAGGUGAGCUCCUCGUUGUUUCCAUGAUGCUUCCUCAAACCUGGUUCUCAACUUUUUUUUAAUUUUUUUUCCUCCCCCAUAGGUGCAGGAGUAAAAGAAUUGUUUUGAAAUAAAAGUUAAUUUAUGUAUUCCA